GGGAAAGGUGAAAAGCACCCCGGAAGGGGAGUGAAACAGUUCCUGAAACCGUGUGCCUACAAGUAGUUAGAGCCCGUUAAUGGGUGAUAGCGUGCCUUUUGUAGAAUGAACCGGCGAGUUACGAUUUGUUGCAAGGUUAAGCGGAAAAAGCGGAGCCGUAGCGAAAGCGAGUCUGAAUAGGGCGCAUAAGUAACAGGUCGUAGACCCGAAACCAGGUGAUCUACCCAUGUCCAGGAUGAAGGUAAGGUAAUACUUACUGGAGGUCCGAACCCACGCACGUUGAAAAGUGCGGGGAUGAGGUGUGGGUAGCGGAGAAAUUCCAAUCGAACUUGGAGAUAGCUGGUUCUCUCCGAAAUAGCUUUAGGGCUAGCCUCGAGGUAAAGAGUCAUGGAGGUAGAGCACUGUUUGGACUAGGGGCCCUUCUCGGGUUACCGAAUUCAGAUAAACUCCGAAUGCCAUGUACUUAUACUCGGGAGUCAGACUGCGAGUGAUAAGAUCCGUAGUCGAAAGGGAAACAGCCCAGACCACCAGUUAAGGUCCCCAAAUAUAUGUUAAGUGGAAAAGGAUGUGGGGUUGCUUAGACAACCAGGAUGUUGGCUUAGAAGCAGCCACCAUUGAAAGAGUGCGUAAUAGCUCACUGGUCGAGUGACCCCGCGCCGAAAAUGUACCGGGGCUAAACAUAUUACCGAAACUGUGGAUGAACCUCUUUAGAGGUUCGUGGUAGGAGAGCGUUCUAAGGGCGGUGAAGUCAGACCGGAAGGACUGGUGGAGCGCUUAGAAGUGAGAAUGCCGGUAUGAGUAGCGAAAGAAGGGUGAGAAUCCCUUCCACCGAAUAUCUAAGGUUUCCUGAGGAAGGCUCGUCCGCUCAGGGUUAGUCGGGACCUAAGCCGAGGCCGAUAGGCGUAGGCGAUGGACAACAGGUAGAGAUUCCUGUACCAGUGCUAAUUGUUUAACCGAUGGGGUGACACAGAAGGAUAGGGAAUCGCACGAAUGGAAAUGUGCGUCCAAGCAGUGAGUGUGAGAAGUAGGCAAAUCCGCUUCUCGCGAAGCAUGAGCUGUGAUGGGGAAGGAAAUUAAGUACGGAAGUUCCUGAUUUCACGCUGUCAAGAAAAGCCUCUAGGAAGAGUAGUACUGCCCGUACCGCAAACCGACACAGGUAGAUGAGGAGAGAAUCCUAAGGUGAGCGAGAGAACUCUCGUUAAGGAACUCGGCAAAAUGACCCCGUAACUUCGGGAGAAGGGGUGCUCUAUUAGGGUGCAAGCCCGAGAGAGCCGCAGUGAAUAGGCCCAGGCGACUGUUUAGCAAAAACACAGGUCUCUGCAAAACCGUAAGGUGACGUAUAGGGGCUGACGCCUGCCCGGUGCUGGAAGGUUAAGAGGAGUGCUUAGCUUCGGCGAAGGUACGAAUUGAAGCCCCAGUAAACGGCGGCCGUAACUAUAACGGUCCUAAGGUAGCGAAAUUCCUUGUCGGGUAAGUUCCGACCCGCACGAAAGGCGCAACGAUCUGGGCACUGUCUCAACGAGAGACUCGGUGAAAUUAUAGUACCUGUGAAGAUGCAGGUUACCCGCGACAGGACGGAAAGACCCCGUGGAGCUUUACUGCAACCUGAUAUGGAAUGUUUGUACCGCUUGUACAGGAUAGGUAGGAGCCGAAGAGACGUGUGCGCUAGCAUACGAGGAGGCAAUGGUGGGAUACUACCCUGGCUGUAUGACCAUUCUAACCCGCCACGCUUAGCGCGUGGGGAGACAGUGUCAGGUGGGCAGUUUGACUGGGGCGGUCGCCUCCUAAAGAGUAACGGAGGCGCCCAAAGGUUCCCUCAGAAUGGAUGGAAAUCAUUCGCAGAGUGUAAAGGCACAAGGGAGCUUGACUGCGAGACUGACAAGUCGAGCAGGGACGAAAGUCGGGCUUAGUGAUCCGGUGGUUCCGCAUGGAAGGGCCAUCGCUCAACGGAUAAAAGCUACCCCGGGGAUAACAGGCUUAUCUCCCCCAAGAGUCCACAUCGACGGGGAGGUUUGGCACCUCGAUGUCGGCUCGUCGCAUCCUGGGGCUGUAGUCGGUCCCAAGGGUUGGGCUGUUCGCCCAUUAAAGCGGCACGCGAGCUGGGUUCAGAACGUCGUGAGACAGUUCGGUCCCUAUCCGUCGCGGGCGCAGGAAAUUUGAGAGGAGCUGUCCUUAGUACGAGAGGACCGGGAUGGACACACCGCUGGUGUACCAGUUGUUCCGCCAGGAGCAUCGCUGGGUAGCUAUGUGUGGCAGGGAUAAACGCUGAAAGCAUCUAAGCGUGAAGCCCCCCUCAAGAUGAGAUUUCCCAUUUCUUCGGAAAGUAAGAUCCCUGAAAGAUGAUCAGGUAGAUAGGUUUGGAGUGGAAGUGUAGCGAUACAUGGAGCGGACAAAUACUAAUCGAUCGAGGACUUAACCAAAA
Molecule: ribosomal RNA, 2422 nt
Filed under: Listeria monocytogenes
Lineage: Bacteria; Bacillati; Bacillota; Bacilli; Caryophanales; Listeriaceae
Description: partial 23S ribosomal RNA
Rfam family: Bacterial large subunit ribosomal RNA
Source: RNAcentral